This 214-nucleotide unclassified non-coding RNA is filed under the name Hevea brasiliensis (rubber tree). Lineage: Eukaryota; Viridiplantae; Streptophyta; Magnoliopsida; Malpighiales; Euphorbiaceae. The record is from RNAcentral.
AAAAAAAAAAAGAUGUGAAGUUUUAAAAUGAUUGAAAUAAAAUAGUGUGUCUCUACCAUUUUCAAUUGUUUUAGGAAUAAACGGCGCUUGAGUUGAAACAAUGCAAGGAUGAGUGAUCAAUUGAAAGCUAUCAACACUUAGGUGUAAUGGAAAUUCAAUAUAGAUUUUAUUUAUUUUUAAUUAGUAGAUUUAUGUAUUCUUAAUUAGUAUGGGA